CAUAAGUGCUGAUCGGUCAUUGUAUCUAGUUCUUUUAAAUAUAGGAAAAUUAAAAGACAUUGAAAUUGCUUGUAAAUCCUUAGGAAUUACAAUUAGCAAGCCUUUUGGCUGAACCAAGGAAUUAAUGGAUAUGGAAGUGGAAGUGGAUUCUCUUUCAUGUUCUAUUAGAGAAGGAGGCAUUGAUCCUUCUCUCUCUUGAUUUACUUCUAUAAUUGAGUUUAGAGAGUCAGAUUUUAAUCCUUCUCUUCCUAUUCCACUGUUUAGAUUUACUUCAAAUGAAUUUAAAACAAAAACAUCUUUUAAUAUUAGAGAUGCAAGUUAUUUAUUUUGAACCUUGUAAC
Molecule: long non-coding RNA, 341 nt
Filed under: Physcomitrium patens
Lineage: Eukaryota; Viridiplantae; Streptophyta; Bryopsida; Funariales; Funariaceae
Description: long non-coding RNA (PPAT_LNC008353)
Source: RNAcentral